CAGCGCCACGAGUGGCAUACAUAUUUAUUGGGCCUAAAGCGUCCGUAGCCGGUUUGGUAAAUCCUUUGUGAAAUCAUAGAGCUUAACUCUAUGGCGUGCAGAGGACACUGCUUGACUUGGAACCGGGAGGAGUCAGAGGUAUUCUGGGGGGAGCGGUAAAAUGCUAUAAUCCCCAGAGGACCACCUGUGGCGAAGGCGUCUGACUAGAACGGAUUCGACGGUGAGGGACGAGGGCCAGGGGAGCGAACCGGAUUAGAUACCCGAGUAGUCC
This 271-nucleotide ribosomal RNA is filed under the name uncultured archaeon. RNAcentral's name for it is "partial 16S ribosomal RNA". It matches the Rfam family "Archaeal small subunit ribosomal RNA", at positions 477 to 747 of the family's 1478-position model. The record is from RNAcentral.